This 493-nucleotide ribosomal RNA is filed under the name uncultured Escherichia sp. Its description in RNAcentral is "bacterial SSU rRNA". It matches the Rfam family "Bacterial small subunit ribosomal RNA", at positions 30 to 510 of the family's 1533-position model. The record is from RNAcentral. Lineage: Bacteria; Pseudomonadati; Pseudomonadota; Gammaproteobacteria; Enterobacterales; Enterobacteriaceae.
AUUGAACGCUGGCGGCAGGCCUAACACAUGCAAGUCGAACGGUAACAGGAAGAAGCUUGCUUCUUUGCUGACGAGUGGCGGACGGGUGAGUAAUGUCUGGGAAACUGCCUGAUGGAGGGGGAUAACUACUGGAAACGGUAGCUAAUACCGCAUAACGUCGCAAGACCAAAGAGGGGGACCUUCGGGCCUCUUGCCAUCGGAUGUGCCCAGAUGGGAUUAGCUAGUAGGUGGGGUAACGGCUCACCUAGGCGACGAUCCCUAGCUGGUCUGAGAGGAUGACCAGCCACACUGGAACUGGGACACGGUCCAGACUCCUACGGGAGGCAGCAGUGGGGAAUAUUGCACAAUGGGCGCAAGCCUGAUGCAGCCAUGCCGCGUGUAUGAAGAAGGCCUUCGGGUUGUAAAGUACUUUCAGCGGGGAGGAAGGGAGUAAAGUUAAUACCUUUGCUCAUUGACGUUACCCGCAGAAGAAGCACCGGCUAACUCCGUGCCA